CAAGUCGAACGAGAAAGGGAUUGCUUGCAAUCCUGAGUAGAGUGGCGCACGGGUGAGUAACACGUAGAUAAUCUACCCCCAAGCCCGGGAUAACCGUUCGAAAGGGCGGCUAAUACCGGAUGAAGUUGAUCUGCACAAGUGGAUAGAUGAAAGAUUGCCUCUUCAUGAAAGCAAUUGUUUGGGGAUGAGUUUGCGUACCAUUAGCUUGUUGGUGGGGUAAGGGCCUACCAAGGCUGUGAUGGUUAGCUGGUCUGAGAGGAUGAUCAGUCACACUGGAACUGGAACACGGUCCAGACUCCUACGGGAGGCAGCAGUGAGGAAUUUUGCGCAAUGGGGGCAACCCUGACGCAGCAACGCCGCGUGAGUGAAGAAGGCCUUUGGGUCGUAAAGCUCUGUCAACUGGGAAGAAGUUACAUAUGAUUAACAGUGGUAUGUAUUGACGGUACCAGUGGAGGAAGCGCCGGCUAACUCCGUGCCAGCAGCCGCGGUAACACGGGGGGCGCAAGCGUUAUUCGGAAUUAUUGGGCGUAAAGGGCGCGUAGGCGGUUCUGUCGGUCAGAUGUGAAAGCCCGGGGCUCAACCCUGGAAGUGCAUUUGAAACAGCAGAACUUGAGUACGGGAGAGGAAAGCGGAAUUCCUGGUGUAGAGGUGAAAUUCGUAGAUAUCAGGAGGAACACCGAUGGCGAAGGCAGCUUUCUGGACCGAUACUGACGCUGAGGCGCGAAGGCGUGGGUAGCGAACGGGAUUAGAUACCCCGGUAGUCCACGCAGUAAACGAUGU
This 780-nucleotide ribosomal RNA is filed under the name uncultured bacterium. RNAcentral's name for it is "bacterial SSU rRNA". It matches the Rfam family "Bacterial small subunit ribosomal RNA", at positions 58 to 812 of the family's 1533-position model. The record is from RNAcentral.